This 601-nucleotide long non-coding RNA is filed under the name Homo sapiens (human). RNAcentral describes it as "HSALNT0179242". The record is from RNAcentral. Lineage: Eukaryota; Metazoa; Chordata; Mammalia; Primates; Hominidae.
CGCUGCCUUUGUAGCCAGCUCACACACAUCCAGUUGGCUAAGUAUUUGUCUGCAGUUCUUCGGCACCGGCACCGUCGCCACCAAACUCCAUGUGUGUCAGGAGGAAGGGAAGCUGCAGUCAAGUCCGGAGGCAGCUCACCUCCCUCUCUAGGCUUGGGCAGUUACAAUCCUCGCUUUGGCUUCCCUCUAUCUUGACAGUACGUGCUGGCGGCAGUGGCCACAUAAAGACAGAUCCACAUACAGCCUCGCAGCCUCUCCUAUGACGGAAACCUACCAGUGCAGCUGAGUUUGAGAUGCAACAGUAAUCCAUUUAAGCAGCUUUGGGUUCAUGCCUCAACACACACACUAUGUGAGCCUCCUCUGAAUUCUCAAGGUAUUUUGUGGGAGAACUUCUGAUGAAAAGAAGGUACCCAAGACUGCUCUCAUUCCAUCAUUAUAUCUGACAUCUCUGUUACACAUUCCCAUGACCCCUGAGCCAAAAUUUAUUUAUUAUCAUUUUUUACUAUUAAAACAGUAAAUCAAGCUUCAUGAUGUAUGUAGCCUACUAUAUAAAUGUUUUUCUGUCAUGACUUUAAUUUUUUUCUCAUGAACGUUUAUUUUC